Molecule: long non-coding RNA, 1092 nt
Filed under: Gadus morhua (Atlantic cod)
Lineage: Eukaryota; Metazoa; Chordata; Actinopteri; Gadiformes; Gadidae
Description: lncRNA (ENSGMOG00000027764.1)
Source: RNAcentral
AUGUGUUUUGUGGAUCUGGAGAAGGCGUAUGACCCGGUCCCCCGGGACAAACUGUGGGAGGUGCUGCGGGAGUAUGGGGUAAGGGGGUCUAUCCUCAGGGCCAUCCAAUCUCUGUACUCCCAAAGCGAGAGCUGUGUUCGCGUCCUCGGCAGCCAGUCAGUUUCGUUCUCAGUGGGUGCUGGUCUCCGCCAGGGCUGCGCCUUGUCACCAAUCCUGUUUGUGAUAUACAUGGACAGGAUAUCGAGGCGUAGUCGUGGUGGGGAGGGGUUGCAGUUCGGUGGUCUGAGGAUCUCGUCACUGCUUUUUGCAGAUGAUGUGGUCCUCAUUGGAUCAUCGGCCUGUGACCUUCAGCACUCACUGGAUCGGCUGGCGGCCGAGUGUGAAGCGGCUGGGAUGAGGAUCAGCACCGCUAAAUCUGAGGCCACAACUCUUAGCAGGAAACCGAUGGGUUGCUUACUCCGGGUAGGAAAUGACUACUUAGCCCAAGUGAAGGAGUUCAAGUACCUCGGGGUCUUGUUCGCGAGUGAGGGUACUAUGGAGCGUGAGAUUGGCCGGAGAAUCGGAGCAGCGGGGGCGGUAUUGCGUUCGCUUUACCGCACCGUUGUAACGAAAAGAGAGCUGAGCCGCAAGGCAAAGCUCUCGAUCUACCGGUCGAUCUUCGUUCCUAUCCUCACCUAUGGUCAUGAGGGCUGGGUGAUGACCGAAAGGACAAGAUCGCGGGUUCAAGCGGCCGAGAUGAGUUUUCUCAGAAGGGUGGCUGGCGUCUCCCUUAGGGAUAAGGUGAGAAGCUCAGCCAUCCGUGAGGAACUCGGAUUAGAGCCGCUGCUCCUUUACUUAGAAAGGAGUCAGCUGAGGUGGUUCGGGCAUCUGGUAAGGAUGCCCACUGGGCGCCUUCCUUGGGAGGUGUUUCAGGCACGUCCAGUUGGGAGGAGACCUCGGGCAAGACCCAGGACUAGGUGGAGAGAUUAUAUCUCAACACUGGCCUGGGAACGCCUCGGGAUCCCCCCGUCAGAGCUGGUCAAUGUGGCCCGGGAAAGGGAAGUCUGGGGCCCCCUGCUUGAGCUGCUCCCCCCGCGACCCGACCCCGGAUAA